Molecule: ribosomal RNA, 581 nt
Filed under: uncultured Staphylococcus sp.
Lineage: Bacteria; Bacillati; Bacillota; Bacilli; Caryophanales; Staphylococcaceae
Description: bacterial SSU rRNA
Rfam family: Bacterial small subunit ribosomal RNA
Source: RNAcentral
AGCGAACAGACGAGGGGCUUGCUCCUCUGACGUUAGCGGCGGACGGGUGAGUAACACGUGGAUAACCUACCUAUAAGACUGGGAUAACUUCGGGAAACCGGAGCUAAUACCGGAUAAUAUAUUGAACCGCAUGGUUCAAUAGUGAAAGACGGUUUUGCUGUCACUUAUAGAUGGAUCCGCGCCGCAUUAGCUAGUUGGUAAGGUAACGGCUUACCAAGGCAACGAUGCGUAGCCGACCUGAGAGGGUGAUCGGCCACACUGGAACUGAGACACGGUCCAGACUCCUACGGGAGGCAGCAGUAGGGAAUCUUCCGCAAUGGGCGAAAGCUUGACGGAGCAACGCCGCGUGAGUGAUGAAGGUCUUCGGAUCGUAAAACUCUGUUAUUAGGGAAGAACAAAUGUGUAAGUAACUAUGCACGUCUUGACGGUACCUAAUCAGAAAGCCACGGCUAACUACGUGCCAGCAGCCGCGGUAAUACGUAGGUGGCAAGCGUUAUCCGGAAUUAUUGGGCGUAAAGCGCGCGUAGGCGGUUUUUUAAGUCUGAUGUGAAAGCCCACGGCUCAACCGUGGAGGGUCAUUG